CCUACGGGAGGCAGCAGUGAGGAAUAUUGGUCAAUGGGCGGAAGCCUGAACCAGCCAAGUAGCGUGCGGGAUGAAGGCCCUACGGGUCGUAAACCGCUUUUGCACGGGGAUAACACCCUCCACUUGUGGAGUUCUGCAGGUACCGUGCGAAUAAGGGCCGGCUAAUUCCGUGCCAGCAGCCGCGGUAAUACGGAAGGCCCGAGCGUUAUCCGGAUUCAUUGGGCUUAAAGGGAGCGUAGGCGGGCGUUCAAGUCAGCGGUAAAAUGUCGCGGCUCAACCGCGCCUGGCAGUUGAAACUGGAGGGCGCGAGUACAGAAGAGGGAGGCGGAAGUAGUGGAGUAGCGGUGAAAUGAUUAGAUAGGACGUAGAACUCGGAUAGAGAAGGCAGCGGACGGGGGUGAGACCGACGCGGAGGAAUGAGGGGGCGGGUAGCGAACAGGAUUAGAUACCCGAGUAGGG
Molecule: ribosomal RNA, 459 nt
Filed under: uncultured bacterium
Lineage: Bacteria
Description: partial 16S ribosomal RNA
Rfam family: Bacterial small subunit ribosomal RNA
Source: RNAcentral